This 77-nucleotide transfer RNA is filed under the name Dyadobacter koreensis. Its description in RNAcentral is "tRNA_Arg_TCT". It matches the Rfam family "tRNA". Rfam says of the family: Transfer RNA (tRNA) molecules are approximately 80 nucleotides in length. Their secondary structure includes four short double-helical elements and three loops (D, anti-codon, and T loops). The record is from RNAcentral. Lineage: Bacteria; Pseudomonadati; Bacteroidota; Cytophagia; Cytophagales; Spirosomataceae.
GGUCCCGUAGCUCAGCUGGAUAGAGCAACUGCCUUCUAAGUAGUAGGUCUUUGGUUCGAAUCCAAACGGGAUCACCA